ACUGGAGUUUGAUCCUGGCUCAGGACGAACGCUUGCGGCGUGCCUAAGAAAUGCAAGUCGAACGGGGGCUUCGGCCCCAGUGGCGAACGGUCGCGUAACACGUAAGCAACCUGCCCUGAAGUGGGGGACAACAUCCCGAAAGGGGUGCUAAUACCGCAUGUGGUCACGAGUCGGCAUCGACUUGUGUCUAAAGAUUUAUCGCCUUUGGAUUGGCCCGCGUUGGAUUAGGUAGUUGGUGGGGGUAAUGGCCUACCAAGCCGACGACGGGUAGCUGGUCUGAGAGGACGAUCAGCCACACUGGAACUGAGAGACGGUCCAGACUCCUACGGGGAGGCAGCAGUGAGGAAUUUUCUGCAAUGGGGCGAAAGCCUGACAGAGCAAUACCGCGUGAGGGA
RNAcentral lists this ribosomal RNA (395 nucleotides) under uncultured Armatimonadota bacterium. Its description in RNAcentral is "bacterial SSU rRNA". It matches the Rfam family "Bacterial small subunit ribosomal RNA", at positions 1 to 408 of the family's 1533-position model. The record is from RNAcentral. Lineage: Bacteria; Bacillati; Armatimonadota.